This 494-nucleotide ribosomal RNA is filed under the name uncultured bacterium. RNAcentral describes it as "partial 16S ribosomal RNA". It matches the Rfam family "Bacterial small subunit ribosomal RNA", at positions 28 to 507 of the family's 1533-position model. The record is from RNAcentral.
GACGAACGCUGGCGGCGUGCUUAACACAUGCAAGUCGAACGGUGAAGCGCCUUCCUUUUUGGUGGGUGUGGAUGAGUGGCGAACGGGUGAGUAACACGUGAGUAACCUGCCCCCUUCUUCUGGAUAACCGCAUGAAAGUGUGGCUAAUACGGGAUAUUCUGGGUCUGUCGCAUGAUGGGUCUGGGAAAGAUAUUGUUUCGGUGGGGGAUGGGCUCGCGGCCUAUCAGCUUGUUGGUGGGGUGAUGGCCUACCAAGGCGGUGACGGGUAGCCGGCCUGAGAGGGUGGACGGUCACACUGGGACUGAGACACGGCCCAGACUCCUACGGGAGGCGGCAGUGGGGAAUAUUGCACAAUGGGCGCAAGCCUGAUGCAGCGACGCCGCGUGAGGGAUGGAGGCCUUCGGGUUGUGAACCUCUUUCGCCAGUGAAGCAGGCCUGCCUCGUUUGUGGGUGGGUUGACGGUAGCUGGAGAAGAAGCGCCGGCUAACUACGUG